UGGGGAAUAUUGGACAAUGGGCGCAAGCCUGAUCCAGCAAUGCCGCGUGAGUGAUGAAGGCCUUCGGGUUGUAAAGCUCUUUUGCCGGGGACGAUAAUGACGGUACCCGGAGAAUAAGCACCGGCUAACUUCGUGCCAGCAGCCGCGGUAAUACGAAGGGUGCUAGCGUUGUUCGGAAUUACUGGGCGUAAAGCGUACGUAGGCGGCUAUUCAAGUCAGAGGUGAAAUCCCAGGGCUUAACCCUGGAACUGCCUUUGAGACUGGAUAGCUCGAGUAUGGGAGAGGUGAGUGGAAUUCCAAGUGUAGAGGUGAAAUUCGUAGAUAUUUGGAAGAACACCAGUGGCGAAGGCGGCUCACUGGACCAUUACUGACGCUGAGGUACGAAAGCGUGGGGAGCAAA
RNAcentral lists this ribosomal RNA (400 nucleotides) under uncultured bacterium. Its description in RNAcentral is "bacterial SSU rRNA". It matches the Rfam family "Bacterial small subunit ribosomal RNA", at positions 355 to 772 of the family's 1533-position model. The record is from RNAcentral.